This 492-nucleotide ribosomal RNA is filed under the name uncultured bacterium. RNAcentral's name for it is "partial 16S ribosomal RNA". It matches the Rfam family "Bacterial small subunit ribosomal RNA", at positions 29 to 507 of the family's 1533-position model. The record is from RNAcentral.
AGUGAACGCUGGCGGUAGGCCUAACACAUGCAAGUCGAACGGCAGCACAGUAAGAGCUUGCUCUUACGGGUGGCGAGUGGCGGACGGGUGAGGAAUACAUCGGAAUCUACUUUUUCGUGGGGGAUAACGUAGGGAAACUUACGCUAAUACCGCAUACGACCUACGGGUGAAAGCAGGGGAUCUUCGGACCUUGCGCGAUUGAAUGAGCCGAUGUCGGAUUAGCUAGUUGGCGGGGUAAAGGCCCACCAAGGCGACGAUCCGUAGCUGGUCUGAGAGGAUGACCACCCACACUGGAACUGAGACACGGUCCAGACUCCUACGGGAGGCAGCGGUGGGGAAUAUUGGACAAUGGGGGAAAGCCGGAUCCAGCCAUACCGCGUGGGUGAAGAAGGCCUUCGGUUUGGAAAGCCCUUUUGUUGGGAAAGAAAAGCAGCAGGUUAAUACCCCGCUGUUCUGACGGUACCCAAAGAAUAAGCACCGGCUAACUUCGUG